This 268-nucleotide ribosomal RNA is filed under the name uncultured prokaryote. RNAcentral describes it as "partial 16S ribosomal RNA". It matches the Rfam family "Bacterial small subunit ribosomal RNA", at positions 524 to 792 of the family's 1533-position model. The record is from RNAcentral.
UACGGAGGAUCCGAGCGUUAUCCGGAUUUAUUGGGUUUAAGGGUGCGCAGGCGGGAGAUUAAGUCGGCGGUGAAAUUUUGCAGCUCAACUGUAAAAGUGCCUUCGAAACUGGUUUCCUUGAGUGUGGAUGAAGUAGGCGGAAUUUGUGGUGUAGCGGUGAAAUGCAUAGAUAUCACGAGGAACUCCGAUUGCGCAGGCAGCUUACUAAGCCAUAACUGACGCUCAAGCACGAAGGCGUGGGGAUCAAACAGGAUUAGAUACCCGCGUA